Non-coding RNA from Pelobates cultripes (western spadefoot toad), 293 nucleotides. NCBI's taxonomy places the organism in Eukaryota, Metazoa, Chordata, Amphibia, Anura, Pelobatidae. The record is from the annotation of a GenBank genome assembly.
GGCAAAUUAAAAACAAAGGAGGACUAAACAGUAAAUAACAUUUGCGUAUGAUCUAUAUGAAGAUGUGCUGUGCUAGGGGGCAAUACAGGCUGUGAGCCUGUGGAAUUGGUCUGUCGUUAGAGAUAUGCUAAGCACUCAAGAUUAACAUGUUAAGCAGGCUGCCCGUACCUACUAUAUGGUGGGUCACCUGUUUAUGGUAUCACAGGCUGUAUGUGUGGGAACAUGUAUGAAUAGAGCUUCUGGGCAUCCUAUCAGUAAUGUAAGAGGGCCCAGCAGUACAAGUACCAACCGGU